GCUCCAGUCGCGAAAUUGGUUAGCGCGCGUUACUUACACAGCAGUGUUCAGUGAAGUCAUGCUGAGGUUGUGAGUUCAAGCCUCACCUGGAGCA
RNAcentral lists this transfer RNA (94 nucleotides) under Lepisosteus oculatus (spotted gar). It matches the Rfam family "tRNA". From Rfam's summary of the family: Transfer RNA (tRNA) molecules are approximately 80 nucleotides in length. Their secondary structure includes four short double-helical elements and three loops (D, anti-codon, and T loops). Further hydrogen bonds mediate the characteristic L-shaped molecular structure. tRNAs have two regions of fundamental functional importance: the anti-codon, which is responsible for specific mRNA codon recognition, and the 3' end, to which the tRNAs corresponding amino acid is attached (by aminoacyl-tRNA synthetases). tRNAs cope with the degeneracy of the genetic code in two manners: having more than one tRNA (with a specific anti-codon) for a particular amino acid; and 'wobble' base-pairing, i.e. permitting non-standard base-pairing at the 3rd anti-codon position. The record is from Rfam by way of RNAcentral. Lineage: Eukaryota; Metazoa; Chordata; Actinopteri; Semionotiformes; Lepisosteidae.